RNAcentral lists this ribosomal RNA (507 nucleotides) under uncultured bacterium. RNAcentral describes it as "partial 16S ribosomal RNA". It matches the Rfam family "Bacterial small subunit ribosomal RNA", at positions 29 to 507 of the family's 1533-position model. The record is from RNAcentral.
ACGCACGCUGGCGGCGUGCCUAAUACAUGCAAGUCGAACGCUUCUUUCCUCCCGAGUGCUUGCACUCACUUGGAAAGAGGAGUGGCGGACGGGUGAGUAACACGUGGGUAACCUACCCAUCAGAGGGGGAUAACACUUGGAAACAGGUGCUAAUACCGCAUAACAGUUUAUGCCGCAUGGCAUAAGAGUGAAAGGCGCUUUCGGGUGUCGCUGAUGGAUGGACCCGCGGUGCAUUAGCUAGUUGGUGAGGUAACGGCUCACCAAGGCCACGAUGCAUGGCCGACCUGAGAGGGUGAUCGGCCACACUGGGACUGAGACACGGCCCAGACUCCUACGGGAGGCAGCAGUAGGGAAUCUUCGGCAAUGGACGAAAGUCUGACCGAGCAACGCCGCGUGAGUGAAGAAGGUUUUCGGAUCGUAAAACUCUGUUGUUAGAGAAGAACAAGGACGUUAGUAACUGAACGUCCCCUGACGGUAUCUAACCAGAAAGCCACGGCUAACUACGUG